UAGGCGCUGCACAUUGGAGGAUACUUCAGAAGGGGAGCUUCUCAAGCAUUACCAAGUCAAGCACAGUAUUUAUGGAUGUGGCUGAGCUGAACCAAAACCAACUAAUCACCAAUUAAAGAAGAGAGACAGCCCAGUCAUUAAGGACUUGAUGUGGAGAACUUUUGCACAUAGAGGAACAUACGACAUACAAAUGAGCAUCAGUGACAUGAAGCACAGGUGGCCUACCUUGUUUAAUGUCUCACAGGAGAGGAAGGUGCCAGAAGGGAGGUGAAAGGACACCAAAACUGAUGUCCUUGUUUCCAGCAAGGAAAAGCGAUGUCAGAGCAACAAUUCAAGCACAGAUGUGAUGAGCAGGCACAGCAACAGCCACAAUAGCCACAAUCUUACAUACAGCCCCCUAAGUGUAGAAGUUCAUGUGUUGAUGUUUCCAUAAGUGUCAGAAUGUCAUCAAAAUGUCCUUCUUUGUGCAUUUGAGCCACAUGCUGCAUCCAUUUCAGCCAUAUACUCAUAUGCUCAUGUUGAUGUACCCUGAGGUUAUAUAUUUCAAAUAGAGAUUUCUCAGACUC
Molecule: non-coding RNA, 566 nt
Organism: Doryrhamphus excisus (bluestripe pipefish)
Lineage: Eukaryota; Metazoa; Chordata; Actinopteri; Syngnathiformes; Syngnathidae
Source: RefSeq, a predicted model, not a curated record